GCUCAACCGUGGAGGGUCAUUGGAAACUGGGAAACUUGAGUGCAGAAGAGGAAAGUGGAAUUCCAUGUGUAGCGGUGAAAUGCGCAGAGAUAUGGAGGAACACCAGUGGCGAAGGCGACUCUCUGGUCCGUAACUGACGCUGAUGUGCGAAAGCGUGGGGAUCAAACAGGAUUAGAUACCCUGGUAGUCCACGCCGUAAACGAUGAGUGCUAAGUGUUAGGGGGUUUCCGCCCCUUAGUGCUGCAGCUAACGCAUUAAGCACUCCGCCUGGGGAGUACGACCGCAAGGUUGAAACUCAAAGGAAUUGACGGGGACCCGCACAAGCGGUGGAGCAUGUGAUUUAAUUCGAAGCAACGCGAAGAACCUUACCAAAUCUUGACAUCCUUUGAAAACUCUAGAGAUAGAGUCUUCCCCUUCGGGGGACAAAGUGACAGGUGGUGCAUGGUUGUCGUCAGCUCGUGUCGUGAGAUGUUGGGUUAAGUCCCGCAACGAGCGCAACCCUUAAGCUUAGUUGCCAUCAUUAAGUUGGGCACUCUAGGUUGACUGCCGGUGACAAACCGGAGGAAGGUGGGGAUGACGUCAAAUCAUCAUGCCCCUUAUGAUUUGGGCUACACACGUGCUACAAUGGAUAAUACAAAG
This 639-nucleotide ribosomal RNA is filed under the name uncultured bacterium. Its description in RNAcentral is "bacterial SSU rRNA". It matches the Rfam family "Bacterial small subunit ribosomal RNA", at positions 607 to 1244 of the family's 1533-position model. The record is from RNAcentral.